Molecule: ribosomal RNA, 254 nt
Filed under: uncultured bacterium
Lineage: Bacteria
Description: partial 16S ribosomal RNA
Rfam family: Bacterial small subunit ribosomal RNA
Source: RNAcentral
UACGAAGGGGGCUAGCGUUGCUCGGAAUUACUGGGCGUAAAGGGCUCGUAGGCGGCCAACUAAGUCAGACGUGAAAUCCCUCGGCUUAACCGGGGUACUGCGUCUGAUACUGGAUGGCUUGAGUUUGGGAGAGGGAUGCGGAAUUCCAGGUGUAGCGGUGAAAUGCGUAGAUAUCUGGAGGAACACCGGUGGCGAAGGCGGCAUCCUGGACCAACACUGACGCUGAGUGAGCGAAAGCCAGGGGAGCAAACGGG